GGAGGAGGGCCAGACACAGAGGAAGUCAGCAAGGCUGUUUGGGUUGACUAUUCAAAGUUACAAUGAAUGAUGCUCCCAAAAGUACUCCUGCUACCUACCCUGAGCUCUAUAGUUUCACUUCUAUGUCAAACGUUCUGCAUUGUAACCUUGUAGGUCAAUCGAAACUUGGCCAAAAAGUAAUUUUUUUGUGUAUGAAAAUCCCUAAAUAAAGAAACUUCUUUGGUAACCCUUUUUGGGCCCCCUUCUAGGUUCAUUUUUCAGGAGAACUAUUUGCUUUCCCUUCACAAUAAGUGCUGCUUUCUGCUCUUGCUCUACAAUAAACACGUUUUCUCUGUCUUCUGCUGACUCUAACUUGUAAUUCUUUCUGGGCUGAGAGAAGAACCCACUAGCUGGAUGGUAACGUCUGGGAUUGAAUGCAAGACAUACUGCCAUGUUUGGCCUUGGAAACGGGUCAGGAUUAAGGCCAGAAUGUGUGGGAUGGCCCAUACCAUUAGAACAUGGCUUAUGACCUUCAACACUUUAAAAAACUGAGGUGAAGCCAAGCACAGUAGACAUGCGUGCUUCUAUAACGGGCAUCUCUUUGGAAUGUGUGUAUGAACAGGUAUUUGCAGUACCCUCUCACGCUUACAACUGCUUUCUUUUUUUUUUUUUUUAAAUCCACGGACCUGAGUCACCAGCCCCUUAUUUACAACUACUGGUGUAACAAUGCUGUGUAAACUCCAAACUGUUGCCUGACUGACGCCUGAUGCCAUGAUGAAUACACAAAGGCAGAAGACAUUUCUGUCACAUUAUUCUAAGAAAAUCGAAGUGUGUCAGCCUCUCCCAGUGUGAGUAGAGACUCAAGCGCAGACAGAUCUCCAACCCCGAUUUUUUUCUCCUGCUGGUAAAUGAAGAAUUCAGAGCUAAAGCAUCAUAGACAUAAAAAAAGGAAGAAAAAAUCAAGGAGCUUGAAACAUGAUUCCAGCAAUGUAGCAAGCAGGAGCAUGACCCCUCAGUUGGCACGUCAAUUUCAGGAACUCUUCGAACUCGUGCACCACCAAAUUGAGAGCCAUCCCAACCGCUAUCCCAACAUGUACGACCCCACCCCAGACGAAGUUCUGUUUUUGAUCCAACUGCUUUACCUGCACUAAGUGGUAAACAUCACCACUAUCACCUUCGUUUGGGGAGCCUCUGCCUCUACCACCACCUUUCUUAGGAGAACCCUUUUAAGACUCACCACCUGCUCCAUCAUAUAGAGAGAGGCAGAAACAAAUGAAUAAAUGUGAAGGGCAUAUGUUGA
Chinchilla lanigera (long-tailed chinchilla) is the source of this 1279-nucleotide long non-coding RNA. RefSeq lists it as uncharacterized. The transcript has 4 exons. The record is from RefSeq and is a predicted model, not a curated record. Lineage: Eukaryota; Metazoa; Chordata; Mammalia; Rodentia; Chinchillidae.